This 423-nucleotide ribosomal RNA is filed under the name Vibrio parahaemolyticus. RNAcentral describes it as "bacterial SSU rRNA". Lineage: Bacteria; Pseudomonadati; Pseudomonadota; Gammaproteobacteria; Vibrionales; Vibrionaceae. The record is from RNAcentral.
AAAUUGAAGAGUUUGAUCAUGGCUCAGAUUGAACGCUGGCGGCAGGCCUAACACAUGCAAGUCGAGCGGAAACGAGUUAUCUGAACCUUCGGGGAACGAUAACGGCGUCGAGCGGCGGACGGGUGAGUAAUGCCUAGGAAAUUGCCCUGAUGUGGGGGAUAACCAUUGGAAACGAUGGCUAAUACCGCAUGAUGCCUACGGGCCAAAGAGGGGGACCUUYGGGCCUCUCGCGUCAGGAUAUGCCUAGGUGGGAUUAGCUAGUUGGUGAGGUAAGGGCUCACCAAGGCGACGAUCCCUAGCUGGUCUGAGAGGAUGAUCAGCCACACUGGAACUGAGACACGGUCCAGACUCCUACGGGAGGCAGCAGUGGGGAAUAUUGCACAAUGGGCGCAAGCCUGAUGCAGCCAUGCCGCGUGUGUGAAG